CAACAUCCAUUCUUUAUCAAAGCCUUUAAGUAAGAUUUUCGGAAACGUUGAAGGAUAAAAUGAGUAUGUGGGAACAUAUAAAGAAGGAUUUCCAAUCGGGAGAUCCAGAAAUCAUGAACUGGGCUCUAAUUAAGCCAGCUUAUCUGCCAUUCCUCAUGUCCACUUCGUAUCUGUUAUUUGUGUAUUUUCUGGGGCCACAUCUCAUGAAUAACAGGCGGCCAUUCAAAUUACGCAAACUGAUGGUUCUUUACAACUUGGCACUAGUACUCGCCUAUGCUAGAUGUGCGAUUAAAGCAACUUAUUUAUUUGUCACGACGGAUAUCUCAGAGUAUUUCUGCAAUAAUGCAUCCGUCUUGCAAAGUCCAUCAAUAUACGAGGUGGCCGUAAUAUCAUGGUAUAUUUACCUGCCUAAAAUAUGUGGAAUAUCUUGAUACGAUAUUUUUUGUCUUAAGAAAAAAAGUAUCACCAGAUCACAAUCCCUCACGUCUUCCAUCAUACACUUCUGCCAAUAUGCGGUUGGACGAUAUUCAGAACUGAAAAAGGUUUAUUUCAACUGACGAUUGGCAUCCUCAAUGGUGUGGUGCACGUCGUAAUGUACACCUAUUGCGGGCUAGCAGCGGCUGGGAUAAAGCAAGAGUAUUUGUGGUGGAAAAAGUACAUAACCCGACUGCAAAUGGCACAAUUCAUAGUGGUCAUCAUCCUGCAAAUAUAUGCGACACACAUGGGCUGUUAUUCAUCUUUUAUAAGUUUCUACAUGGUUACAUUCUUGUGCAUGUCAUUUUUCAUACUUUUUGGAAAUUUUUACAUACAGACCUACAACUUGAGCUGUAAAAAUGGACCGAGAAGAAGUAUUUUUCACAUUGAUUAAGAGUAAUAAAACGUAACGGAUCCAUAAUAAUAUCUUUUCAGUUUUCAUCUAGAAAGAAAGAGACGUAGAUGGAUGCAAAGAAUAAAAUCGAUAUGAAAGUGAAAUUUCUGAUGUAAAUAAAGGAGUUUAUUUUUCUAU
Uloborus diversus is the source of this 1006-nucleotide long non-coding RNA. RefSeq lists it as uncharacterized. Lineage: Eukaryota; Metazoa; Arthropoda; Arachnida; Araneae; Uloboridae. The transcript has 7 exons. The record is from RefSeq and is a predicted model, not a curated record.